Molecule: microRNA precursor, 97 nt
Filed under: Nannospalax galili (Upper Galilee mountains blind mole rat)
Lineage: Eukaryota; Metazoa; Chordata; Mammalia; Rodentia; Spalacidae
Description: microRNA 488 (ENSNGAG00000002540.1)
Rfam family: mir-488 microRNA precursor family (bases 3-84)
Source: RNAcentral
GUGAGCGUCAUCUCUCCCAGAUAAUGGCACUCUCAAACAGUUUCCAAGUUGUUUGAAAGGCUGUUUCUUGGUCAGAAGACUCUCAAUUCCUUCUGGA